UUUCCAUGGAGUCCUAACUAACUCUCUCUGAUGCAUUAGUUGGGUUUGUCAUUGGGCCUUCCAUCGAGUCAUUUUGUUGAACCGGAUCAGAGUUGACGUUCUCAUUAACUAUCCCCUGCCCGAUAAGGACCUUGUCCCCAAGGUGAUUUGAGAAAAAAACAUUAGAGCUCAUCUUUGUCAACCCAAGCUGUCUCUUCGCAAGGUGACCCUGCCCAUUCCACCAACACCUAUUCGAUCGGCGCCCCCUCUCGCCUGACGAUGUUACAUCCAAUAAUCGCAGUUGGGAGGGGCUGGAAAGUCGUGGGUGUCGCUGUUAAAGUCGGACUUCUCAUUGGUGGAUUCCCAUGAUACUCUUUCGGCAUAGAGACGUGGAAGACUAGGUGGAUAGUGCUCCCCUCCGACAACUCUAACCGAUAUGCGAGCUUCUCAACUCGCCAAUGCACGUGGUAAGGCUCGAAGAACCAUCGACCUAAUUUCGGGUGUUCCUUGAGAAAGAAAGAAAUCUACCGGUAAAAUCCCAAUUCAUCAUUAAAGACCUAUGUAGCAAAAUUCAGCCUAAGGAAGGAAGGAAACUCAACACUGUGGUCGAGAAUGGAUGAAUGCUAGCAAAUACUGCUCCAAGGAGCAAUAUGUGACUUCAGUUUAACCAUCGCUUUGGAGAUGAUAAGUCGUACUAUAAUGUAGUCUAGUUCCAUUAUACUCAAACAAGUUCCGCCAAAAUCAAAUGAGAAAAAUUAGGUCAUGAUCUGAGACAAUGACAACAGAGAAGCUAUGAAAUUUGACUAUGGACGCAAUGAAGACCUUAGUAACAGAUGCAACAGUAAGACCAAAACGCAGAGCUUUAAAAUGGGUUGUCUUGCUAAAGCGCGCCGUCGACGACCACCAUGAUAGCCGAGUUAUGCUAAUUGCAUCAAAAUCCAAACCUAAUAUACACUUUGUCCA
This is a non-coding RNA of Arachis ipaensis, 942 nucleotides long. The record is from RefSeq and is a predicted model, not a curated record. Lineage: Eukaryota; Viridiplantae; Streptophyta; Magnoliopsida; Fabales; Fabaceae.